Molecule: ribosomal RNA, 560 nt
Filed under: uncultured bacterium
Lineage: Bacteria
Description: bacterial SSU rRNA
Rfam family: Bacterial small subunit ribosomal RNA
Source: RNAcentral
AGAGUUUGAUCCUGGCUCAGAUUGAACGCUGGCGGCAUGCUUUACACAUGCAAGUCGAACGGUAACAGGGAGCUUGCUCCGCUGACGAGUGGCGAACGGGUGAGUAAUGCAUCGGAACGUACCCAGUCGUGGGGGAUAACGUAGCGAAAGUUACGCUAAUACCGCAUACGUCCUGAGGGAGAAAGCGGGGGACCGAAAGGCCUCGCGCGAUUGGAGCGGCCGAUGUCGGAUUAGCUAGUUGGUGGGGUAAAGGCCUACCAAGGCGACGAUCCGUAGCGGGUCUGAGAGGAUGAUCCGCCACACUGGGACUGAGACACGGCCCAGACUCCUACGGGAGGCAGCAGUGGGGAAUUUUGGACAAUGGGGGCAACCCUGAUCCAGCCAUGCCGCGUGAGUGAAGAAGGCCUUCGGGUUGUAAAGCUCUUUCAGACGGAAAGAAAACGCAUCGGUGAAUACCCGAUGUGGAUGACGGUACCGUAAGAAGAAGCACCGGCUAACUACGUGCCAGCAGCCGCGGUAAUACGUAGGGUGCGAGCGUUAAUCGGAAUUACUGGGCGUAA